Helianthus annuus (common sunflower) is the source of this 2992-nucleotide long non-coding RNA. RefSeq lists it as uncharacterized. The transcript is spliced from 14 exons. Lineage: Eukaryota; Viridiplantae; Streptophyta; Magnoliopsida; Asterales; Asteraceae. The record is from RefSeq and is a predicted model, not a curated record.
AUUCAAGAACCCUGAUAGAACUCUAUUCUCUCGAUCUUCCCUCUCAAAACCCUAGGGCCGCUUACGUAUUUUGUUCAGUUGAAGGGUUUUUGGUUCAGAUUUGUUCAUCAGUUUGAUGUUAAAUUCGAAUUUGAUCUUACAACCAUCUUCCUAUUUGUCAUUUUCUUUUGUUCUGAUUACGAUUUUCUUAUGAAUCCAUUUACAAUUACCACUAUGGAGAUUUACACCAUUAAAGUUUCAAGGGUUUUUCAUUUUUCCACAAGUUACACCAUUAAAGCUUCCAUCUUUUAUCACUCUAGGGUUUUAUGCUCAUCGCUUCUUCCAAUUUCUCACCUUUGUAUUCAGAAUUUGAGAUCCAGUUCAAUAGUAUGUAUAUUCUUUCGAUUCGUUCACUUUAGGGCUUAAUUCAAUUUCUUUGAUUUUUUUAUUGGUUUGAAUUUGUUUUAUGCAUGAGGUUGUUUUUUGAGCUUUUAGUAAUAUUAUUAGUAUUAAUAUUAGUUGUUAAAGAAAGUCAGACUUGAGCUUUAAUAGAGUUUUGGUGUUGAUCUGAGUGGAAAAUUGUGGGUUUAGGUUCAUUUAGUUUAGAAGUGGGAAAGUGAAUGUCUGGUUCAGGGAUGGAUUUUGGCCCGGAGAGCGGUGGCGCUGGCAUAAUUUUAACGCCGGCACGGUUUGUGUGGCCAUAUGGGUGAAGGAGUGUGUACUUAAGUGGCUCUUUUACAGGGAUAAGUAAGAGAACGCUUCCAACAAGGUUUGGGAAGCAUAGAGGAUUUGCUUUUGUCGAGUAUGUAAACCAAACAAGAGACGAAAAACGCCCUUCAAGCUCUCUCUAUCAAACACUAAUUUUUAUGGACACAAUCCGCUUCAUUCAUCUCUCAUUGCCGUCAUCCCUUUGAUUUGUUCCACACCAUUUGAUUUCAAAGUCGUAUAGAUUAUUUGUAUUGUGCCUACGAAGGUAACGGAGAAGAUGUUCAAACCUUCGCCGCUGGAGAUUCUUCACCACCGGCCGCUGCUAACGGCGGCGGUGCCACGGAAGAGUUCAGUGAUUCCAAGUCACAGCAACUUCGAGUGUGGUGUCGGCUCCCGAUGGGGCAGUGGGAACUGGGAAAUAUACAAUCAGCUGUUAACGGAAAAGCAUCUGUUACACUGUUGGACGGAACGGUCAUGACAGUGUCUACAGGAGAGCUGGUACCUGCAAAUUCUGAAAUCCUUGAUGGUGUGGAUAAUCUUGUCGCGCUCAUGGUUUAAAAAAACGGCCGAGGCGGUCGUAUUGAGGCGCGCCUCAGUUCGAAACGGAGAAAAAACGUAUAUGAGGCGGCGCCUCAGGGUCAGAAAUUAUACGCACGCCUCAGUGGAGUGAGGCGUAAGUUUCAGAUCUGAGGCGGAACGAUUUUGGAGAGGCGUACGUAUAUAUUUUGGGUUGGAUAAAGACGUAGACGCUUGUGGCUAUGCGCAAUCAAGAAAAAAUAGGGUAUAAUAGAGAUGGAGACAUACCUUACAGCGAUGGAUUACCAAGAAAAUUAGGGUAAAAGUAGAACAGAGGAGUUGAUGUUGAUGACGGCGAUAAAAGAAUAAAAGAGUGAUGUAACUUAUUAGGGUUACUGAAGAAAAUAACUAGAGCUUUAUUUAUUUCAUUUACAAAAACUUACAUAAACACCCUUAAACAUUAAACUUUUAUCAUAGUCAACCCAAAACUAUCUCACAAGUCUAUUUACAUUAGGAAAGUUAUGUAUUUUAUGUUUAGUAUUUUAUUUUUUAAAAGAUAUAUAAUUUUUAUAUUAAUUUUUUAAUUCCGCCUCGGGCUUACGCCUCGGUUCGUCUCGAGGCUUACGCCUCGUGAGGCGAAGGGAAAACGCCUCGAAACUCAUUUCCGUUUUUUUAAACCUUGGUCGCGCUUGGUUAUGUAAACGAGCCGUCAGUUCUAUGUAAUCUCCAGUAUAGAUAUAACCGCGAUGUAAUUUAUACUAUGGCGGGGCCCGUUCUGUUAGUGAUCAACCCCUUUAAAGAUGCCUUGAUUAUUGGAAGUGACGUUAUCACAGCUUACAAAAAGAAGAUUUUGGAUAGCCCGCACGUAUAUUAGGUCGCUGACACUGCCUAUAGUGAUAUGAUGAGAGGUGAGACGGUCUAAAUCGGUCUAUUAUUAUCAGUGGGGAAAGUGGAUCGGGAAAGUGGAUCGGGAAAGAGUGUAACGGCAAAAUUAGCGAUAGAGUAUUUGGUAGAAGUUGGCAGUGACAAUAGUGAGAUAGCAUGCAGAAUACGUGAAUCAGGAUAUUUAUACUGGAAGCUUUCGGGAAUGCAAAAACGUCAAGAAACAAAAAUUCUAGCCGAUAUGGAAAAUUAAUUGAUUUUAAUUACAAUGCAAAGGGUAUGCUUCACGGGGCUUGUAUCCAUACACUUCUUCUUGAAAAGUCGAGGAUAUCGCAACUCAGUCGCAGUGAAAGGUCAUACCAUGUCUUUUAUCAAUUGUGUGCUGGGGCGUCCUCUGAUAUGAGAGAGCAAUGUCGGUUGCAGAGCAUGUAAAAUGACGUGUCAUCCGACGUGGCAGAGCAAUGCCGGUUGCAGAGUCUUGAAAAAGCUAUGUUCAUUCAGUGGCUUUGCUUUACACCUCCCUCCACCAUUAAUGAUGCUACCAGAGUUGGCUCAAAACUGCUGAACCGAGAAUUGAUGCACAGUUAAAAGAAAGAGAUGAGAAGCUUGAAUAUCACAAACAAAGAGAGCAGAAAUUCACGGAGAAGAAGAAUGAGAAGGAGCUACUGCGUCGCCAAAGUUCUGUAUGGAUUGAUGAAAAUGAACUCGAGAAAAAGAUAUUGAAUGCCAUUAUGGAUGAGUCUUAAGAGAGAACUCAAUUUACUAAGAGAAAGGCUUUGGUAACUCGAAGGAUAUGCAUCUUCAAAAGGACUCGACUAUCUUUAAAUUGUAUAUCCACUCUAUCACUAAUUUAUGCAACAUCGGACUUUGUAUUUUAUUUUAUUUAUGCACUUGAUAUUUAUUUUAA